GACGAACGCUGGCGGCGUGCUUAACACAUGCAAGUCGAACGGAAAGGCCCUGCUUUUGUGGGGUGCUCGAGUGGCGAACGGGUGAGUAACACGUGAGUAACCUGCCCCUGACUUUGGGAUAACUUCAGGAAACUGGGGCUAAUACCGGAUAGGAGCUCCUGCUGCAUGGUGGGGGUUGGAAAGUUUCGGCGGUUGGGGAUGGACUCGCGGCUUAUCAGCUUGUUGGUGUGGUAGUGGCUUACCAAGGCUUUGACGGGUAGCCGGCCUGAGAGGGUGACCGGCGACAUUGGGACUGAGAUACGGCCCAGACUCCUACGGGAGGCAGCAGUGGGGAAUAUUGCACAAUGGGCGGAAGCCUGAUGCAACAACGCCGCGUGCGGGAUGACGGCCUUCGGGUUGUAAACCGCUUUCGCCUGUGACGAAGCGUGAGUGACGGUAAUGGGUAAAGAAGCACCGGCUAACUACGUG
This 468-nucleotide ribosomal RNA is filed under the name uncultured bacterium. RNAcentral's name for it is "partial 16S ribosomal RNA". It matches the Rfam family "Bacterial small subunit ribosomal RNA", at positions 28 to 507 of the family's 1533-position model. The record is from RNAcentral.